AUGCCUAGGUGUUCAGUCCAGCUCCUGCAACCAACACGGGUCAUUGCCCUUUUUGCCACAACGGCAGCAGCACAAACACGAGCGUGGUCGUCCUCAAACCGGUUCCUCACGCGGCCUCCGCGCAAGCCCUGCUCAUGUAUGCUUACACCAAAACAGUUCAACAGGGGCGCGGGGUUCAGUUCGACGGUCACGAGCCAGGGUUUAUUUCUUUUCUUAUUUGUAUUGCUUGGUCGUCAGGUCGCAGCCUCUUCCUUCUGCAGGCCAUGCCCCAUCCCCCCAUUCCCGCAGCGACCAGGCCAUUCACUGCCAGUUCCACAGUCCGUUCACUGCCGACAGCCAAGGCCGUUCAACGACGUAGCGACGAGGCAGGUCAUCAGUUCAAACCUAACACAGAAACUCCUUGCUUGGCAUUCGAGCUCUUAUUUUCCCAAGACUAGUACUGGAUACACACUAUUCAUCGCAUUUGUCAUCGAGCGAUUGCACCCCUAUCUUCAGAAGCUCAUCACCAUGAGGAAAUCAUUCAACACCUCCCAGAGAGGAGGUUGA
This 546-nucleotide ribosomal RNA is filed under the name Triticum aestivum (bread wheat). RNAcentral describes it as "partial small subunit ribosomal RNA". The record is from RNAcentral. Lineage: Eukaryota; Viridiplantae; Streptophyta; Magnoliopsida; Poales; Poaceae.